RNAcentral lists this unclassified non-coding RNA (227 nucleotides) under Hevea brasiliensis (rubber tree). Lineage: Eukaryota; Viridiplantae; Streptophyta; Magnoliopsida; Malpighiales; Euphorbiaceae. The record is from RNAcentral.
GAAGAUUUUGAUAAUAGGCUUGUCAAUCAUUUUGUGCAGGAGUUCAAAAGGAAGCAUAAGAAGGAUAUUAGUGGCAAUCCCAGGGCGCUAAGGCGGUUGAGAACUGCCUGUGAGAGGGCGAAGAGGACUUUGUCAUCGACUGCUCAGACGACUAUUGAGAUUGAUUCCUUGUAUGAAGGGAUUGAUUUCUAUGCUACGAUUACCAGGGCAAGAUUUGAGGAGAUGAA